UCCCAACUGACGAGUGCCAGAUAGGAUGAAACGCGCGUCCUGAAU
Molecule: non-coding RNA, 45 nt
Filed under: Schistosoma mansoni
Lineage: Eukaryota; Metazoa; Platyhelminthes; Trematoda; Strigeidida; Schistosomatidae
Source: RNAcentral